UACGGAGGGGGCAAGCGUUGUUCGGAAUUACUGGGCGUAAAGGGCGCGUAGGCGGCCAGUCACGUCAGAUGUGAAAGCCCCGGGCUCAACCUGGGAACUGCAUUUGAUACGGGCUGGCUUGGAUCCGAGAGAGGAGUGUGGAAUUCCCAGUGUAGAGGUGGAAUUCGUAGAUAUUGGGAAGAACACCAGUGGCGAAGGCGACACUCUGGCUCGGUAUCGACGCUGAGGCGCGAAAGCGUGGGGAGCAAACAGG
RNAcentral lists this ribosomal RNA (253 nucleotides) under uncultured prokaryote. Its description in RNAcentral is "partial 16S ribosomal RNA". It matches the Rfam family "Bacterial small subunit ribosomal RNA", at positions 524 to 776 of the family's 1533-position model. The record is from RNAcentral.